Molecule: long non-coding RNA, 521 nt
Filed under: Pan troglodytes (chimpanzee)
Lineage: Eukaryota; Metazoa; Chordata; Mammalia; Primates; Hominidae
Description: lincRNA
Source: RNAcentral
GCCAAAAGAUAAAAACAAGCAAGAAAGCAAACAAAUAAAAGUAACAACAAAAUUUAAGAACCCCUUGCAUGGAAGGAUGCUUAUUUCCUCUGGACUGAAAGAUGGCAUCAGAAGUGGGAUCUAAAGUAAAGCUUCUAACAAUCCCCAUGAGCACUGAGUGACCAAGCAAGGUACACGCCAGGCCUGUUCUGUCUGUUGCUCUCGCAGAGCAGCUGGGGAUCGUGGAGGUUCAUGACAGGAUGAAAAGAAACCUGAGAAGCACUCUUGAAUAGAGGUUUCUGAAUAACUUUCGAAUCGUAUCAUUUGGACUGGAUAACAGUGUUGAGGCAGAGAAGUUUCAUAAUCUGCCUAAGAUCAUUGCAUUUACAAGUGACGAACCCACUGCACAAAUUUUGGCAAUGACAGAAACUUAAUCUGCAUUGGCUUCGGCAAAGCAGAAAUUUAUUGGCUUACAAGGCUGUACAGGAGACAUGGCUGGGGAGGUCUCAGGAAACUUACAAUCGUGGUGGAAAGUGAAGAGG